RNAcentral lists this long non-coding RNA (693 nucleotides) under Homo sapiens (human). RNAcentral's name for it is "HSALNT0059990". The record is from RNAcentral. Lineage: Eukaryota; Metazoa; Chordata; Mammalia; Primates; Hominidae.
UUUUGGGGGUACAUGUGAUAUUCUGAUACACAUAUACAAUGUGCAAUGAUCAAAUCAAGGUAACUGGGAUAUAUAAGACCUUAAACAUGUGUCUUUUCUUUCUGUUGGGAACAUUACAAAUCUCUUUUAGCUAUACUGAAAUAUACAAGAAAAUAUUGUUAACUUAUAACACUUGUUCCUUCUACCUAACUGUAUGUCUGUAUCCCUUAACCAACUUUGGAGGAACUUUUAAAGCCCAGGAACACAUGCUGUCAGAGUGGUGACGUCAUGGCCCCUGCCCAUUGGCUGUCGGAGCAGUGACAUCAUCAUACCUGCUGGAAGUUGCUGCCAUACCCCUGAGAGAGAAUGAGACAGAAGUAACAUGUUAACAUUGUCACGAACAGAGUUUUCACCUUGAAGAUGCCUUGAAAGUGUAUCGGGGCCCCAGAGCUCUCUGGACCACUUUGAGAACCACUCAGUCCUCUAAACUGCUGAAAACUGGUGCCUUUGUGAACACAAAUCAGGGCAACUUGGAGUUUCUGUGCUGGAAGGACGGCUUCAGAGGAGCUCAUCGUGGCCAGAAAAAUGCAGGAGGAUGAAGAGGUGAAUCUGGGAGGCAGACAGGAACAAUCAACUGAACAAAUACAGGAUGCCAGCCUGUGUGAAGUGUAGCAGAGGGCGUGCAAAGACAUCGCUCUGCCCUCGGGCUUCUGA